This 459-nucleotide ribosomal RNA is filed under the name Haemophilus sp. oral taxon 035. RNAcentral describes it as "bacterial SSU rRNA". It matches the Rfam family "Bacterial small subunit ribosomal RNA", at positions 37 to 489 of the family's 1533-position model. The record is from RNAcentral. Lineage: Bacteria; Pseudomonadati; Pseudomonadota; Gammaproteobacteria; Pasteurellales; Pasteurellaceae.
AUUGAACGUGGCGGCAGGCUUAACACAUGCAAGUCGAACGUAACAGGGUUAGCUGCUAAUUUGCUGACGAGUGCGGACGGGUGAGUAAUGCUUGGGAAUCUGGCUAUGAGGGGAUAACUACGGGAAACUGUAGUAAUACCGCGUAAAAUCUUCGGAUUAAAGUGGGACUUUCGGGCCACCUCCAUGAGAUGAGCCCAAGUGGGUUAGGUAGUUGGUUAGGUAAAGGCUGACCAAGCCGACGAUCUCUAGUGGUCUGAGAGGAUGACCAGCCACACUGGAACUGAGACACGGUCCAGACUCCUACGGGAGGCAGCAGUGGGGAAUAUUGCACAAUGGGGGGAACCCUGAUGCAGCCAUGCCGCGUGAAUGAAGAAGGCCUUCGGGUUGUAAAGUUCUUUCCGGUGACGAGGAAGGUUGGUAUGUUAAUAGCAUAUCAAAUUGACGUUAAUCACAGAAGAA